GGUCUCGUAGCUCAAUGGCAGAGUGUGACUUUCCGGUGGUUGAGGUUCCAGGUUCGAGUCCUGGCGGGAUCG
Molecule: transfer RNA, 72 nt
Organism: Pochonia chlamydosporia 170
Lineage: Eukaryota; Fungi; Ascomycota; Sordariomycetes; Hypocreales; Clavicipitaceae
Rfam family: tRNA
About the family: Transfer RNA (tRNA) molecules are approximately 80 nucleotides in length.
Source: Rfam